GUACAGAGGUCAUUUCAAGAAAGAAGAGACACCAAACACAACAUAAAGGGACUUUUCAUGUCUGGAGAUACUAGAAUUUCAGGUUUUAUUGCUGCGAGUUCUAUUAAAAGACUUUGUGGAACCUAGGAGGAAAUCAAAAUUAUCUUUCAAAAGGCGAUAAGUUAUAUAAAUAUGUGCACAAACAGAAAUGUGUCUCUGAAGGUAUUAGUUCUGCAUAAUUUCAGAUGAGUAGCUACUAGGCCUCAAAGGAAACAGCGCAUCUUGAAAUGCUCUGAAGGCUUACACUGGCCAAAAGAAGGCAGGACUUUAGCGAAAUUAGAAGUAACUUUGUAGCCAACGAUGUGCUGUAUGUCCUGGUUCCCUUUAAUAGCAUUAGGCGUUCAGACCAUAAAGACUAAUCUGGAGAGUAGAAGUUCCUGCUCUCUGCUUUGAUCUCCUUCCUCUUGGCUGUUUAAAGCUGACAGUUUGGCUGAAUGGCAUUCACCGCUUUCAUUUGUAAGACACGAGUUUCCUAGUGUUCCAGAGCUAGCAGCUACACCUGUACCGCAGGAAUUUACAUCGCAUUGCUCCAGGAUGGCAUUGAUUUGGGACGGGCGAAAUACAAACACAAACUAAUUAAAACCUGCAUAAUGCGGCCCUACAGGAACAAGACAGAAAAACAAAUAAAUACAACUGCAGCUGGCAGGGCAAUUGUGCCUCUGCCCUCGAGCAACAGUCUGGUGACAUCAAAUUACAAACCUUAAAAAUCUCCCGUAAUUGCAGUUGAUCAUUUCGGAGACAAAAUGGAAAUUGUGCUGUUAAUUAAGUUCGGAUCCGUAAAAUAUUCAUGAUAGGUGGGCAGACGGACGGACAGGCAGAUAGCGAGAGGUGGAUGAUUCAUCCUAUAGGUUUGUCGGCUUGUUUAUACAGGCCCGUGUGCAGAGCUCAAACAAUUCAUAUGCAAAAGCGCUAAGGAAGAGCUCCGCGUUCCCCUUGCUAUCAGAAAUAAAUACGUGUUGCAACUGAUAAAGGACUAAUCAGAACACACUACCGGGAUACUGGGAAAAAAAGAACAGUUUUUCUUAGUUUGCUAAAAUAUAUAGAUAGAGAGAGAAAUGACCGUAAUAUUUGUAAUGCCCUCUUUGUCUGAAUAACACCGUCUUUGUAAACGCUUUAUCAGCUGUUACCCCGAGUGCAGUCAAACGUUUCGGACUUCGAUCCCUCCCUGCACUACCCAUACCUACGUGCUCGCUUUUAGGGAAUCCACCAGAUUCCCUCCUGCGCGUUCUUUCCACGGGAAAGAAAAUUGACACUGUCCAAUAACCGAAGUGAUCAUCUGAAAUCUCUUCGUCUGCUACCGGUGCGAGCUCAAAACCCAGAGAGGAUUUGCAGGAGAACUCGUUGCCAGGAUGUUUCAAAGAAUUAAAGGAAAACUUUUUUUCUUCCCCAGCCCUAAACCAGGCGCUGUAGCGCUUAAGCUUCCCUUUCUUUUGGGUCGAUCUUUAUGAGGAGCGCCGCUUUUUGCUCGCAGCUCCGUGCGCACGUGUAUCCCUAUGCAGAUACAGCGCAAAAUGCGUGGAAAUAACGCGGCUGAAGCCUAGCUUAAUAGAUAUCUCAGCUCCAUUCUCAAAUUGUGCUCUGCUCAGUAUCUUAUCCUCCCCGUAGUUAGGUGUCUCCUUUCAACGUCUCUGUCAUCUCCAUUUGAAGAUAUUUUCAGCGGUUUAUCACUGCCAUCUCCAGCCCUGCACAUUUGCAGCAGGUUAUCACAAUUGCCAGUCCCCUCUGGCUGAUGUGUUGUGCUGAUUACCAUCAGUGCCCUGAGAUAUUUGGUGCGGAUUCCCAGCACUGCAAUAUCCACUCUUAGGACAUCUGGAGCAGAUCAAAAUCACUGACUUCAUUUUUUUAGUAGAGUCAGUGUUCGAGCUCCGCAGCCCCUUUGCAGACAUCGCCUUCAGUCAGUUCCUGCAGAACCAGCCUUUGGUUAAAAUUCGGCCAAGCAGCGACCCCUAUGUCUGGAUUUGCAUUUCUUAUCGGACCCCUAUCUCAACUGAUUUGUUCAUAAUAAAAAGAAAAUCUCUUGGCAGCAAAUGCAUCGCCUUAAGAAACUGGAAGGAGCCCACUGUCUUAGCUAACCGCUUCUCGAGAAAGGCUCUUUAAGGAGAACUUUAUCUACCCGAUGAUCUCUGAAUUAUACGAGCGUGGCCAUUUAGGUCGAUUUACUUUAAACAGCAUACAAUUUAUUUUAAGCGAUUACCUCAGGUGUAAUCACAUUACACCCAGCGCCGCUAUCUAUUUCUCUCCCGCUUGUUUUCAGACGGGCGCCCGCUCUCCAGCGGAAAGGUGACAGUGUCCCACUCUGAUCCCAGUUCCUCCUUCGCUACGGGACUCCUCGGUGCUAAUGAGUUGGAACCGCGCUCCUUUUCCUUAGGAUCUGCCGAAAGUUAAGGAGACAUUGGAGCAACUAAAACACGGGGCUCAGGAAAAAGAAAAAUAAUAAUAAUUAGAAGGAAGAAACUGCAUAUAUAUCUAUAACCCGAAUUAUGUUUAAAAUCACAGUAUUCCAUCUCUUGAAAAUUUCAAGCAAAUUUAUGGGGAGAGGAGUGAUCACACCAACCUUCUGGACUGUUUAGCUUUAGGGAAAGGUUUUCCCCAUGCUUCCGGCAGCAGCUGAUGUUGUUUUCAGUUUCCCAUACAGUUUAGUUCUUUGCGCACUUUUCUGAUUAAGCUCCAGCUAUUGGUCCUGUAUGGGGAGGAGGGGGGAAGAAAGGGGAAGGGGGGGAUAAACCCAGGAUCUACAGACCUUCGCUAAACUGAUUUUCAACCUAAGUAGCUUAGUGCAGCGGCUCUAGUCCCUGCUUACUUGCACAAGGGGAAAAAAAUUAAAAAGGCUUCGAAAGGUUUCCUGAUAAAGUGAUUUAAUAACCCGUCAGGAAAACGGGCACUGUCCAAUACAGGAGCGGGAGCUGCGCGCUGAGGGAUUCGCCUUUACUGAGCACAGCGUAAUGAAUGGCGCUCGCAGGACCCCGCUCGUUACCCCGCGCCGGGAACUUUGCAAAUGAGGAACAAAGGUCUCCUCCCAGCCCUGCAACUUUUCCCCUCCUCGGCGGGUUCCCUUUCUUUUUCUUUCUUAAUUUCAUCAUUCCUAUUUUGUCCUCUUUCUUUCUUUCUUUUCUUUUUCUUUUUUUCUUUUUCUUUCUUUUUUUCAUCUUUCCAAAACCACUGCUCUAGGUAUCCCGCACUUUCUUUACUUGCUCUGUUUCCAGGUGAAGAAUAGCAGAGUUCGCCCCAAAAGAUUUUGGGCUGAUAGAAAAGCAAGCGAUACUUUUUUUUUUUUUUUUUUUUUCCUUUUCCUUUUGAGCAGGAUGGGGGCGGAUGGGGGAGGGGAUGACUCACAUUUCUUAAGCCUCGGAGUGGAAACCUUCUCUGGAUUCCACCCAGAUCUAAAGCGCUAAGAAGAUUUCGGCAGCGGCAGUGCAUUCUCCCACCUUCCUUUACCUGCAGCCCUUGUAACGCGACUCUGCCAGCCGCCAAACCUCGCUACAGUUCCCAAGAACCACUCAGCUUUGUCUGAGGGUCGCUCUCCUGCUCUGAGGGGCGGCCGAGCCCCUCGGUCCCUCCUCGAGG
This 3603-nucleotide long non-coding RNA is filed under the name Gallus gallus (chicken). Its description in RNAcentral is "lncRNA (ENSGALG00010009075.1)". The record is from RNAcentral. Lineage: Eukaryota; Metazoa; Chordata; Aves; Galliformes; Phasianidae.